UGCCCUUGAAUUCUUAGCAAGUAUUGUGA
Molecule: non-coding RNA, 29 nt
Filed under: Mus musculus (house mouse)
Lineage: Eukaryota; Metazoa; Chordata; Mammalia; Rodentia; Muridae
Source: RNAcentral